Molecule: long non-coding RNA, 731 nt
Organism: Amphimedon queenslandica
Lineage: Eukaryota; Metazoa; Porifera; Demospongiae; Haplosclerida; Niphatidae
Exons: 2
Source: RefSeq, a predicted model, not a curated record
GUCAAAAAAUUUAUAAGUGUCUUGCAACUGUUAUAAGACUUGAAAAUUGUUAUUGCCCUCGCCCACGCCGUAGGCGUAGUCUAUAGGCGAGGGUACUGCGCUCGUGCUGUCAGUGUGUGUGUUUGUGUGUUAGCAAAAAUUUCAAUCAUGGAUGAUUUUUUGGCUGAUGCUACUUUUUAGUCAAGCUCUUCAGAGCAUUUCUUUUGCCAAUUAGGUGGCAAAAGUCGGCAGCGUUUAAAAACAGAAAAAGUUAACUAGUAACUUUUGCAUAGUUGAAGCUAUGGUACCUUUGAAGGCAACAACAGGUAAAGGAAAACAUAAAGAACAAAAAAUAUGUGUGGAAUUGCUUGACUUUCCUUCGUUUGUGAGAUAUGACAGCUUAAGUGUGACUUACCAGCCAUUUUGUAGCAUAGCAGCUGCAGCUCCUCUCUGAGAAGGUGGCUACUGCCUCGAAACUGAAGAAACCGGAUAUAGUAAUUGCAUGAAACAAGUAGAGCCUAACAAAUCUGUGUAAAACUGUGUGCAUGCCUAGAAAAACUAAAGCUUUCUGCCCACAGUAAGGCCACAUGGCACCAUUUUACUAAACUGGGUGGUGCAUAUUUUUGAUUGAGCUGAGCCACACCUUUCAUUCCAGCCACACCUUUAAUUGCUGCAGCAGCAAGGUAGCUAAACAGAAAGUCAGCAACAUUCCUUCAAAUUUUUCUUGAAAAAACCAUUACUGUUUCACUUUU